This 475-nucleotide long non-coding RNA is filed under the name Panax ginseng (ginseng). RNAcentral's name for it is "long non-coding RNA (PGIN_LNC010533)". Lineage: Eukaryota; Viridiplantae; Streptophyta; Magnoliopsida; Apiales; Araliaceae. The record is from RNAcentral.
AGUUUUUCUUUUAAAAACUUAUCCCCGCUGUUAUAUGGUAUCAGAGCCACACGGUUGGUUCUUGAUGUUGUUCGGCGAUUUCGAUUAAAAACAGUUUGAUUUGUGGGCUUAAAUGUUUCUUCAAACUUUCAGUUUUUCUUGCUCUGCUUUUACAAGUCCCGACCUUCGCUGUAAAACACCCAAGAUCGCCUUAAGUCCCGAUUAGUUCCUGUUUGUAAGUCUCCAGGGUGGGAGCAGUGAAUGGCCAAAGGGAAUCUUUAGAUCUACGGGUAUGAGUUUAAGGCAAGUAAGGCUUUCUAAGUAGACCUUCAAGAAAAAGAAUUUUUGUUUAAACAGUUAACAAAUUAGUCUUCUGUUUUAGAUCGAUUUCACUGAUAGAUCAGGACCAAUCGAGUGAUCCUUUGUUUCAGAUUUCAGUCUGAUUUGUUUUUAAACAAAAAUUUUUACAAAAUCUUAGAAAUUUUGAAGAUUUUGA